CCAUACCAAUUUGCUUUUCUCUUGUUUCUCCCCCUUCCCUUCCUUUCUUUUCCUCUUAUCUGAAUAAUAUCUAUUUCAUUUCAUUCCCCAAAAUAAGUUGCUUGCAAUUGAUGUACCACGAAUGCUUCUGAGGUAAAUAUUUCUGCUAUGGAAUUCUUCCUUGAUUCGAAUGAACAAGUUGUUACAAUCGGAAAUGGACAACAAUGAUGAAGACGAAAGAAACUUCAUCAAGACAAUUGCAGUUAAGUUGCUUUAGGGUGUAGAAUUGUAGAUUAAUCAUCUUUUUUUUCUCACUCAUAUAUCCUGAACUUCUUAGUAUUUUCAAAGAUGACGAAAGAAGGGCUAUUUUACCCUGUAGGUUCUCUUUUCUUAGACUUCAGCUCUGAAAAUACAAUAAAUAUAUAUAUAAUUGGAUAAUAAUUAAAAUUUAUUAUUUUUAAUUAUCAAAAAA
Long non-coding RNA from Arachis ipaensis, 451 nucleotides. RefSeq lists it as uncharacterized. The record is from RefSeq and is a predicted model, not a curated record. NCBI's taxonomy places the organism in Eukaryota, Viridiplantae, Streptophyta, Magnoliopsida, Fabales, Fabaceae.